GGAUCACUUUUUCUGGGUUAACAGUUUAACUCUUAGUCAUCCUUGAGCAUCAAGUGUCAAAGGGAUGAAUUAUACGAUAACUAUAUCCACAAAGAUUCUAGAGUAUUGCUGGGCAUACAUUCGACGUAUCCAGAUGUCAGAUCCCAUUGCUAGAUGGUUACAUCGAUUAGUACAAAAAUUUUUUUUAUGCUACCGACUU
This 199-nucleotide long non-coding RNA is filed under the name Elaeis guineensis (African oil palm). RNAcentral's name for it is "long non-coding RNA (EGUI_LNC071098)". The record is from RNAcentral. Lineage: Eukaryota; Viridiplantae; Streptophyta; Magnoliopsida; Arecales; Arecaceae.